RNAcentral lists this ribosomal RNA (326 nucleotides) under Sandonidae sp. RNAcentral's name for it is "SSU rRNA". The stretch from base 113 to 326 matches the Rfam family "Eukaryotic small subunit ribosomal RNA", at positions 745 to 955 of the family's 1831-position model. The record is from RNAcentral. Lineage: Eukaryota; Cercozoa; Glissomonadida; Sandonidae.
GAUUUCUGGCUUGAUACAUUAUGCCGGCCACGGUUUCGUGUGUUAGUGCAUGAUGUUUGGGCCAUCCUUCCAAUUGCUGCCUGCUACUCUUCACUGAGUGGUAGGUGGUAUUGGAUCUUUUACUUUGAAAAAAUUAGAGUGUUUCAAGCAGGCAUGUUUUGCUAUGAAUACAUUAGCAUGGAAUAAUAAUCUAGGACUUUCGGUUCUAUUUUGUUGGUGUUCUGGAGCUGAAGUAAUGAUUGAUAGGGAUAGUUGGGGGUGCUAGUAUUCAAUGGCCAGAGGUGAAAUUCUCGGAUUCCUUGAAGACUAACUUAUGCGAAAGCAUU